CAAACCGAAUUAUUUCUAGAACUGGACCGUUGACAUCUCAGAGCCAAAGGGGGAGACAUUGGCUCUAAACUUAAGAAGAUUCUGCAACAGAAUUUCAACAUUCAACAUUGAAAAUAAUAAAUCUGACAUCAUUGGGAGAUGAACAGCAGUUCUUGAUGGCCUUCCACUCCUCCUUGGAGAAGACCCCACUGAUUUUUACAAGACAUGUAUUGACUAUGAUGAUGAAGGCAAUUCAAGCGGCAUAUUGACAUUGAACCCUAAGGACUGUGAAACCAUACCUAACUCGCUGAACCUUGACGCCACAUCCACUGCCAUCUUUUUGGAAGGUACAAGUCUAAUGGAAGAAAUCUUACCCAAGCCAUGUGCCUCCUUUUUGGGCUCUUUUAUGCUCUGAAUUUAGAGUACCCUCCAGUAAUGAAGAACAACUUUGAUUUCAUCCAGGCGGUGAUUUUGUCACUCGGGCACAAGUCUCUGAAACUUAAAAUACUAUCUCUGAAACAUAUUCUAAUGCAGUAACGUCACUUUUCUCCAAUUCUACAUUUAACGUUUUGUGAAAAGUUAAAGAUGUGAAAAAGUUACAUUGAUCUUUUAUCUUUCCAGAGUGCAAUACAGUAUGUGCAUUUAUCUCAGAAUUGUUGACUGA
Triplophysa rosa is the source of this 643-nucleotide long non-coding RNA. RefSeq lists it as uncharacterized. NCBI's taxonomy places the organism in Eukaryota, Metazoa, Chordata, Actinopteri, Cypriniformes, Nemacheilidae. The record is from RefSeq and is a predicted model, not a curated record. The transcript has 3 exons.